UAAACAGGAGACCACAGAGAGAGCCAGUUCCCUGCGUUCAGAGAACACUAGCCGCCUCCGGUCCCCGGUGGGUGGCUGUAUGUGUGGAAAUGAAACUGGGAGGAGGAGGGAGAGAGGGAAGAGCAGGCACGCACUUCGCGGCUGUCAUCCACCUGGCCUCUCUCGACCCGCCAGCCCACUCCCCACCGGGGUACGGGGUUGGGGGAGGUGGGAGGGAAACGGUUCUGCAGACGCCCACCCCUUAGUACCAGUAGCUGGUUCAGCUGUCGGUGAAUCAGACACUGUCUCAGCAGCUUGUCACCUGCGCUCGGGAGGGGAACAGAGGGCAACCCUGGAACGUGGCAGGGAGAGGUUGGGGAAGGGCAGGAUCCAGCACUGGGCCUGGGCGUCUGGGUGACGCCAGCGGCUGGGAAAAAGGGUGUCCACCUCCCUACACCCACACACAUCUCGACCCAGUACCUGGACGCCGAGUAGACGGGGUGGAACAAGAGCUUGGGGGCCCAACGGAAGGGGGACUUGGAAGCACGGGAGGGGAGAAGAACAGGGUGGGGGUGUGCUGCGGCGGGAAGCGCUGGGUGCGGGGCAGGCGCGCGCGCGCGGAACAAGCCGCUGCCCGGUGCUUGCCCGCGCGGGGUUAUGCGAGGUAACCGCGCGGCGAGGAGGAGGGAGGCGGCGGGGGCCGCGGGCCGGGGUGUCUGGCACUCGUUGGACAAAGAGAUGAUGAAACGAAACACAGCCCAUCUGACUCACCGGGAGGGCUGCACCGACCCCCUGGCAGGCUUAGCCUGGAGACUGACGCGGGGCGCCGGUUCUCCCGGGACCAGACCGAACCUGGGCACUACGGCUGGGGCUGGGUUGAUUUAUAUAUAAAUAAAGGCACAUUCGAUCCAAGAGUGCGUGUGGUUCUUGCGGGGUAGGGGAGAGCGCGGAAAUGGGAGGAAUGUUUCCUAACCCCUUGGCUGAGCCUUCGGGGGCGAGAUCUGCCUGCAAACUCUGAGAGCACAAUUCCUGCAAAGUCAUCUCCUCCGGCACAGCCCGGCCGGCCUGCCCGCCCCGCCCCGCCCGGGGACAGCAGCACCCGCCUCCCCCACUAGCUCCCCACCCCCGUAGCCCUCGGAGUUGGGGUGCGGUGCCGGCUAUGUUUAGAAGCUGAUGUCAUCUCGACACCCUACUCUGCAGUGUUCCCAGGAGGACCGCAGGGCAGGUUUUCCUCUUCCUCGCGGGCGUGGGGGAUGGAAGGUGGCCUGCCCUCUCCCCAACACACGCACCCCACAUCCAUCUACCCGGGAGAUUAAAAGAAAAAAAAAAAAAA
Sapajus apella (tufted capuchin) is the source of this 1312-nucleotide long non-coding RNA. RefSeq lists it as uncharacterized. The transcript has 2 exons. The record is from RefSeq and is a predicted model, not a curated record. Lineage: Eukaryota; Metazoa; Chordata; Mammalia; Primates; Cebidae.